UCAAGAUAUUAAGAGUAUAUGGUGGAUGCCUUGGCAUUGGUUGACGAAGAAGGGCGCGGCAAGCUGCGAUAAGCCUCGGGUAGGAGCAAACAUCCUUUGAUCCGGGGGUUUCCGAAUGGGACAACCCGAUAGAAUUUAUUCUAUCAUCUACAGCUGAAUACAUAGGCUGAUGAAGAAGACGUGGUGAACUGAAACAUCUAAGUAGCCACAGGAAAAUAAAGUAAAUAACGAUUACCUAAGUAGUGGUGAGCGAAAAGGUAAGAGCCUAAACUGUUGUGUUGUUAAAGCCUAUGCGCGUUGACACAACAGGGUCGUGGGGUUUUAUGCGGUUACAGUAUAGUGUGACCGGGAAGUUACAAAGUUUAUUCUUAGUCGAAUUUUUCUGGAAAGUUAAACCAUAGUGGGUGAUAGUCCCGUAGACGAAAAGAAUAAGCCUUUCUAAUAGAAUACCCGAGUACCGCGGAGCACGUGGAAUUCCGUGGGAAUCUGGGAGGACCAUCUCCUAAGGCUAAAUACAAACCAAUGACCGAUAGUGAACUAGUACCGCGAGGGAAAGGUGAAAAGUACCCCGGGAGGGGAGUGAAAUAGAUCCUGAAACCAUAUACCUACAACCGGUCGAAGUCAGAUUUAUCUGAUAACGGCGUACCUUUUGUUUAAUGGCCCAGCGAGUUACCGUAUAUAGCAAGGUUAAGUGUUUAAGGCACGAAGCCGGAGCGAAAGCGAGUGUUAAUUGCGCGUUAAGUUAUAUGCGGUAGACGCGAAACCGGGUGAUCUAGCCAUGAGCAGGUUGAAGCGUGGGUAAGACUGCGUGGAGGACCGAACCAACCAGAGCUGAAAAUCUGGUGGAUGACUUGUGGCUAGGGGUGAAAGGCCAAUCAAACUCGGUGAUAGCUCGUUCUCUCCGAAAUAUAUUUAGGUAUAGCCUCGCAUGAAGAGUAAUGGGGGUAGAGCACUGAAUGGACUAGGGGGCUUACCAGCUUACCAAACCCAAUCAAACUCCGAAUACCAUUACUUACUGUGCGGGAGUCAGGGCGCGUGAGAUAAGUUUCGCGUCCGAGAGGGGAACAACCCAGACCAUCAGCUAAGGUCCCCAAGUGUAUGUUAAGUGGAUAAGGAUGUGUAUUUGCAUUGACACCCAGGAAGUUGGCUUAGAAGCAGCCACCCUUUAAAGAAAGCGUAAUAGCUCACUGGUUUAGCGGAAAUGCGCCGAAAAUUCACGGGACUCAAACAUACCACCGAAGCUAUGGAAUUGUGCUUGCACAAUUGGUAGGAGAGCGUUCUGUAAGUCUGUGAAGGUAAUCUGUAAAGGUUGCUGGAGAUAUCAGAAAUGAGAAUGCUGGGAUGAGUAGCGAUAAUGCGGAUGAGAAACCCGCACGCCGUAAAUCUAAGGUUUCCUGGGCAAGGCUAAUCCUCCCAGGGUAAGUCGGGUCCUAAGUCGAGGCCGAAUAGGCGUAGGCGAUGGCAAACAUGUAAAAAAUUCAUGUACCGAUUAUUAGUGCGAUGGGGUGACGUAGAAAGUGAACCUAGCCGGCUGUUGGUUGCCGGUGAAAGUAUGUAGGAGGAAGACUUAGGCAAAUCCGGGUCUUCUUAACUCUGAAAUAUGAGACGAACUGCGCCUAAGGGCAAAGGAAGUAGGUGUAGCUCUGCUACCAAGAAAAGCCUCUAAGCUUCAGCUAGUAAUCGCCCGUACCGUAAUCCGACACAGGUAGAUGAGGAGAGUAUCCUAAGGCGCUCGAGAGAACUCUGGUGAAGGAACUCGGCAAAUUAACCCCGUAACUUCGGAAUAAGGGGUGCCUGCGCAAGCAGGCCGCAGUGAAUAGGUCCAUGCGACUGUUUAACAAAAACACAGCACUCUGCUAAAUCGUAAGAUGAUGUAUAGGGUGUGACACGUGCCCGGUGCUGGAAGGUUAACAGGAGGGGUCAGGCGGUUUACCGUCGAAGCUCUGAAUCGAAGCCCCAGUAAACGGCGGCCGUAACUAUAACGGUCCUAAGGUAGCGAAAUUCCUUGUCGGGUAAGUUCCGACCUG
Molecule: ribosomal RNA, 2027 nt
Filed under: microbial mat metagenome
Description: bacterial LSU rRNA
Rfam family: Bacterial large subunit ribosomal RNA
Source: RNAcentral